Molecule: ribosomal RNA, 253 nt
Filed under: uncultured bacterium
Lineage: Bacteria
Description: partial 16S ribosomal RNA
Rfam family: Bacterial small subunit ribosomal RNA
Source: RNAcentral
UACAGGGGGUGCAAACGUUGCUCGGAAUCAUUGGGCGUAUAGCGCACGUAGGCGGUUCGUUAUGUCGGAUGUGAAAGCCCUUGGCUUAACCGAGGAAGUGCAUCCGAAACUGGCGAGCUAGAGUACUAAAGAGGAUCGCGGAAUUCCCGGUGUAGAGGUGAAAUUCGUAGAUAUCGGGAGGAACACCAGUGGCGAAGGCGGCGAUCUGGGUCGAUACUGACGCUGAGGUGCGAAAGCGUGGGGAGCAAACAGG